AUGGUGCAUAUGAAUCAAGGACAAGGGGAAACAAGCUAUGCACACAACUCCAGUAUCCAGAACGCUCAGCAGAACAGGAUGAAGCCCCUGAUAGAAGCGGCCAUCAUUGACUUGUGCGGCAGCAGAAGCACCUUGUUCCCCGAAAAGAUGCUGAUUGCGGACUUGGGCUGCUCUUAUGGCCCAAAUGCACUAGCACUGGUAUCGACUGCCGUCAAGGCCAUCAUCAACCAUUGCCUUCAGUUCCAGCAACCACCACCCGAAGUGUGUGUGCUCCUCAAUGAUCUUCCUGACAAUGACUUCAACACGGUGGUGAAGAGCCUGGUCACGCUCCGUCAAAAUAACAACAAGCUUGUUGUUGUGACCGGUGUAGCACCGGGGUCAUUUUACGAGAGGCUCUACACUAGUGACUCCUUGCAUCUUGUCUGCUCGUCCAACAGCUUGCAUUGGCUCUCCAUGGCUCCCGAAGAUCUGACGAUGAACCAGAUCCCUGCGUACGACAUGGAUGAGCAUGCUAGGCGUGAAAGACUCCCUAUGAGGCUUAUGCACGUCAGUUCAGGAAAGAUUUCAUACUUUUCCUGGAGCUGA
Molecule: ribosomal RNA, 585 nt
Filed under: Triticum aestivum (bread wheat)
Lineage: Eukaryota; Viridiplantae; Streptophyta; Magnoliopsida; Poales; Poaceae
Description: partial small subunit ribosomal RNA
Source: RNAcentral